CGGACGGGUGAGUAACGCGUGAGUUACCUGCCCUGCAGCGGGGGAUAGCCCGCCGAAAGGCGGAUUAAUACCCCAUGGUCCCGCAAGGGUAAAGGCGGCGCAAGCUGCCACUGCAGGAUUGGCUCGCGGCCUAUCAGCUUGUUGGCGGGGUAACGGCCCACCAAGGCGGCGACGGGUACCUGGUCUGAGAGGACGAUCAGGCACACUGGAACUGAGACACGGUCCAGACACCUACUGGUGGCAGCAGUCGAGAAUCAUUCACAAUGGGGGAAACCCUGAUGGUGCAACGCCGCGUGGAGGAUGACGGUCCUCGGAUUGUAAACUCCUGUCAUCCGGGAGUAAGACCUGGCUGUGAAUAGCAGACAGGGUUGAUAGUACCGGAAGAGGAAGGGACGGCUAACUUCGUGCCAGCAGCCGCGGUAAUACGAAGGUCCCAAGCGUUGUUCGGAAUCACUGGGCGUAAAGGGUGCGUAGGCGGCAUGGCAAGUCAGAUGUGAAAUCCCGGGGCUCAACCCCGGAACUGCAUCCGAUACUGCCGUGCUUGAGGACCGGAGAGGAGACUGGAAUUCUCGGUGUAGCAGUGAAAUGCGUAGAGAUCGAGAGGAACACUCGUGGCGAAGGCGAGUCUCUGGACGGUUCCUGACGCUGAGGCACGAAGGCCGGGGUAGCGAAAGGGAUUAGAUACCCCUGUAGUC
RNAcentral lists this ribosomal RNA (695 nucleotides) under uncultured Verrucomicrobiota bacterium. RNAcentral's name for it is "bacterial SSU rRNA". It matches the Rfam family "Bacterial small subunit ribosomal RNA", at positions 99 to 795 of the family's 1533-position model. The record is from RNAcentral. Lineage: Bacteria; Pseudomonadati; Verrucomicrobiota.